CUUAUACUCCCUUCGUUCGGAAAUACUUGUCUUAAAAAUGUAUACAAUGAAUGCAUCUUUAACUAAAAUAAGUCUAGAUACAUUCAUUUCUAGGACAAGUAUUUCCGGAGUGAUGGAGUAUUUA
Molecule: non-coding RNA, 124 nt
Organism: Hordeum vulgare subsp. vulgare (domesticated barley)
Lineage: Eukaryota; Viridiplantae; Streptophyta; Magnoliopsida; Poales; Poaceae
Source: Rfam